AUUGGGCGUAAAGCAAGCGCAGGCGGAUGUGUAAGUUCUGUGUUAAAUGCAGCUACUCAAUAGUUGUAUGCACCGAAUACUACAUGUCUAGAUUGUGGUAGGGAGUUUCGGAAUUAAGCAUGGAGCGGUGGAAUGUGUAGAUAUGCUUAAGAACACCAGAGGCGAAGGCGGAAACUUAGGCCAUAAAUGACGCUUAGGCUUGAAAGUGUGGGGAGCAAAUGGGAUUAGAUACCCCAGUAGUCCACACCGUAAACGAUGGGUAUUAGAUAUUAGGGCUUUAGCUUUAGUGUUGUAGCUUACGCGUUAAAUACCCCGCCUGGGUAGUACAUAUGCAAAUAUGAAACUCAAAGGAAUUGACGGGGACCUGAACAAGUGGUGGAGCAUGUUGCUUAAUUCGAUAAUACACGAAAAACCUUACCAAGGUUUGACAUCCCUCGCAAAGCUAUAGAAAUAUAGUAGAGGUUAUCGAGGUGACAGGUGGUGCAUGGCUGUCGUCAGCUCGUGUCUUGAGAUGUUUGGUUAAGUCCCGCAACGAGCGCAACCCCACUCUUUAGUUACUUGUCUAAAGAGACUGCACAGUAAUGUAGAGGAAGGAUGGGAUCACGUCAAGUCAUCAUG
This 618-nucleotide ribosomal RNA is filed under the name uncultured Mycoplasma sp. RNAcentral's name for it is "bacterial SSU rRNA". It matches the Rfam family "Bacterial small subunit ribosomal RNA", at positions 553 to 1197 of the family's 1533-position model. The record is from RNAcentral. Lineage: Bacteria; Bacillati; Mycoplasmatota; Mollicutes; Mycoplasmatales; Mycoplasmataceae.